AUGGGAGGGAGACAUUUCCAAACAGCAAAAGGACAAUGUUCUCUUCUAGAGGAGCUAGAAGACGCAGGUCUAACCACGGAGCAGCCUUCUCUAGGUAAGCAUUCUUCCCAUAUCCUAUUCAAUAUUUUAGAAUAUGCGCAUCUUCUUUCUGUAUCAUUAUUCUGUAUCUGUAUCUUUCUGUAUCAUUCUCCGCCCAAUUGUCCAUUCUUUUUUCAUGCAAUAUUAGUUCUUUAAACAGCCACUCUGACUGGGAGCCAUAUAAAAUGUGUUGGUGACAUAGAGAAUGGACUCUGAUGAAUGUUUUAUUUCCUUAUCUGUCAUUCUUAUCCCUGGCCUUCUCUCCUGUCUCUGGUUACCUGCUUCACUUAGCUGGCCAACUGAGAAUGAGAUGAAGGAUGAAAAUAAAUUGGCAGAUUGCCUUUAGCUGCGAGACAAGGGUUCUUUCUUUCUGUGGUUUAGUUUCACAAAGGGUUUUGUAGGCACUGGAAGUUUUGCUACAAAGCAGCAGGAUCUAAAGGCUGCACCCCAGAAGGUUGA
This 537-nucleotide long non-coding RNA is filed under the name Callithrix jacchus (white-tufted-ear marmoset). RNAcentral's name for it is "lncRNA (ENSCJAG00000075529.1)". The record is from RNAcentral. Lineage: Eukaryota; Metazoa; Chordata; Mammalia; Primates; Cebidae.